This 1485-nucleotide ribosomal RNA is filed under the name Triticum aestivum (bread wheat). RNAcentral describes it as "partial small subunit ribosomal RNA". Lineage: Eukaryota; Viridiplantae; Streptophyta; Magnoliopsida; Poales; Poaceae. The record is from RNAcentral.
AUGGCCGAAGUCAUCGUCCAGAGGGCAUGCGCGAAGCUCAGAUCUGCCAUAGGAGAUGAAGCCGUUGUGCGUUCCAACUUCAUCGGUGACCUGCGUUAUAUGUUGGGGGCGCUGGAGUCCAUCCAACCGGUGCUGGAGAGAGCCGAGAUGGAGCCGUUCAGGAGUAUACCGGUGGCGCGUUGGCUGCAGCUUGCCUGCAGCGCGGCCUGCAAGACCAUAGACACUGUCAAUGAGCUGCACGACGCGAGACCACAGGCUGCUGCAACGUUGACAAGGAUGCUGCCCCACCUUGCCAUCGUGAAGAAUGCCAUGGCCAUCGAGGUGCAGGAGACGAAAAAACUAGUGAUGCGGGCAGACGAGGAGAGGCCAAGUCGGUUUCCAAAUUAUUACACCGAAAUUACCGAGGAACCAAAAACUCGACCAGUUUCUGAGGAAGCAAUGAUUUUUGGAAGAGGAUCAGAUAAAGAGAGGAUAAUAGCCGCCCUGCUAUGUAGUACUGAGCCCAACAUCACGCAAGAGCACAUCACCAUUCUUCCCAUCUAUGGGCUUGAAGGCAGCGGCAAGACAACCUUGGCACAAAUGGUAUUUAACGGUACCCACUCCCUUCAAGGCUAUGACUUCCGGGUAUGGUUUCAUGUGUCUCCCCAGUUGGACUUCCAUGCACUAGGUAACUCCAUUAUUUGUCACGUGUUGGAAAGGCGACAAGAAGCUUCAGACAUGGAGGGGAUGGAGGGUAUAAUGAAGCGCCUUCACGAGCUACUUCAUCGUAAGAAGGUGCUCCUUAUAUUGGAUGACCUGUGGGAGGAGGAUUCCAUUCAGUUACAGCUGUUGAAGUCCAUGUUAACUUUCUUGGGAGACAAGAUGGACGUAAUAGUAACCACAUCCAACCAAGCCAUCGCUAGGAACAUCUGUACAGUUGAGCCGUACAGGCUAAAUCGGUUGAGUGAUGACACAUGUUGGGAAAUAAUCAAGAAAUCCAUCGGUUUCGAAGGAGGAGAAGAAGAGUUGGAGAAGAUUGGACGGGAGAUCGCAAGCAAGUGCUGCGGUGUACCAUUAGUAGCUCAAGAGUAUGCAUCCAUUCUACAUUUUUCUUCCCGAGAUGCUAUUACAUGGAAAAAAUUCAUGGAAUGGAGUAUCUGGUCUAUUAUUAUGAAGUCCAUUUCUUCCCGAGUGUGGUUAUCCCUUGCAAGAUUCGAGCUAAGCUACAGGAGUAUGCCACCAGAUUUGAGGCUAUGCUUUGCUUAUUAUUGUGCAGUCUUCCCAACUGGCCACAACAUAGUCAAAGAUGACCUGGUUCAUCAAUGGAUUGCUCUGCACCUCAUUGAGCCAUCUGAAACAUUGUCUGCCGCACAGAUAGCAGAGGAGCAUAUUACCAGGCUUCAGAACAUGUCAUUCCUUCAAACUGCAGAGCUGGACCACACCCCGGGACCGCUGCUGAUGCCCCUACGAUCGACUACGUCGACGACGACCCUCCUUCUCGCCUGA